This 227-nucleotide ribosomal RNA is filed under the name uncultured bacterium. RNAcentral's name for it is "partial 16S ribosomal RNA". It matches the Rfam family "Bacterial small subunit ribosomal RNA", at positions 122 to 334 of the family's 1533-position model. The record is from RNAcentral.
UAAUUUGCCUUUGGGUGGGGAAUAACUCAGGGAAACUUGAGCUAAUACCGCAUAAUGCAGCGGCUCGACAUCGAGGCAGUUGUUAAAGCGGGGGAUCGCAAGACCUCGCGCCUGAAGAGAAGCCUGCGGCAGAUUAGCUAGUUGGUAAGGUAAUGGCUUACCAAGGCAACGAUCUGUAACCGGCCUGAGAGGGCGGUCGGUCACACUGACACUGAAUAACGGGUCAG